GUGCCAGCAGCCGCGGUAAUACAUAGGGGUCAAGCGUUGUCCGGAUUUAUUGGGCGUAAAGAGCUCGUAGGCGGUUCAACAAGUCGGUCGUAAAAGUUUAGGGCUCAACCCUAAAAUGUCGAUCGAUACUGUUGUGACUAGGAUACGGUAGAGGUGAAUGGAAUUCCGAGUGUAGCGGUGAAAUGCGUAGAUAUUAGAAAGAACACCGGUGGCGAAAGCGCUUUACUGGACCAUUACUGACACUCAGAGGCGAAAGCUAGGGUAGCCAAAGGGAUUAGAUA
This 281-nucleotide ribosomal RNA is filed under the name uncultured bacterium. RNAcentral describes it as "partial 16S ribosomal RNA". It matches the Rfam family "Bacterial small subunit ribosomal RNA", at positions 505 to 784 of the family's 1533-position model. The record is from RNAcentral.